Molecule: ribosomal RNA, 603 nt
Filed under: Breuilites eloyi
Lineage: Eukaryota; Metazoa; Arthropoda; Insecta; Coleoptera; Leiodidae
Description: SSU rRNA
Rfam family: Eukaryotic small subunit ribosomal RNA
Source: RNAcentral
AGUCAUAUGCUUGUCUCAAAGAUUAAGCCAUGCAUGUCUCAGUACAAGCCAAAUUAAGGUGAAACCGCGAAAGGCUCAUUAAAUCAGUUAUGGUUCCUUAGAUCGUACACACAUUUACUUGGAUAACUGUGGUAAUUCUAGAGCUAAUACAUGCUAACAGAACUCUGACCGGAGACGGAAGGAGUGUCUUUAUUAGAUCAAAGCCAAUCGGUGGUCGGGCUUCGGCCUGCCAUCGCAUAAGAUGGUGAAUCUGAAUAACGUUUGCUGAUCGCACGGUCUCGCACCGGCGACGCAUCUUUCAAAUGUCUGCCUUAUCAACUGUCGAUGGUAGGUUCUGCGCCUACCAUGGUUGUAACGGGUAACGGGGAAUCAGGGUUCGAUUCCGGAGAGGGAGCCUGAGAAACGGCUACCACAUCCAAGGAAGGCAGCAGGCGCGCAAAUUACCCACUCCCGGCACGGGGAGGUAGUGACGAAAAAUAACGAUACGGGACUCAUCCGAGGCCCCGUAAUCGGAAUGAGCACACUUUAAAUCCUUUCACGAGGAUCAAUCGGAGGGCAAGUCAGGUGCCAGCAGCCGCGGUAAUUCCUGCUCCGAUAGCGUAU